CCUACGUGAGGCUGCAGUGGGGAAUAUUGGACAAUGGGCGAAAGCCUGAUCCAGCCAUGCCGCGUGUGUGAAGAAGGCCUUCGGGUUGUAAAGCACUUUCAGUGGGGAAGAAAGCCUUGGGGCUAAUACCCUCGAGGAAGGACAUCACCCACAGAAGAAGCACCGGCUAACUCCGUGCCAGCAGCCGCGGUAAUACGGAGGGUGCGAGCGUUAAUCGGAAUUACUGGGCGUAAAGCGCGCGUAGGCGGUCUGAUAAGCCGGUUGUGAAAGCCCCGGGCUCAACCUGGGAACGGCAUCCGGAACUGUCAGGCUAGAGUGCAGGAGAGGAAGGUAGAAUUCCCGGUGUAGCGGUGAAAUGCGUAGAGAUCGGGAGGAAUACCAGUGGCGAAGGCGGCCUUCUGGACUGACACUGACGCUGAGGUGCGAAAGCGUGGGUAGCAAACAGGAUUAGAUACCCUAGUAGUC
This 465-nucleotide ribosomal RNA is filed under the name Vreelandella stevensii. Its description in RNAcentral is "partial 16S ribosomal RNA". It matches the Rfam family "Bacterial small subunit ribosomal RNA", at positions 338 to 795 of the family's 1533-position model. The record is from RNAcentral. Lineage: Bacteria; Pseudomonadati; Pseudomonadota; Gammaproteobacteria; Oceanospirillales; Halomonadaceae.